This 202-nucleotide ribosomal RNA is filed under the name uncultured bacterium. Its description in RNAcentral is "partial 16S ribosomal RNA". It matches the Rfam family "Bacterial small subunit ribosomal RNA", at positions 328 to 545 of the family's 1533-position model. The record is from RNAcentral.
ACGCUCGACACCUACUGGAGGCAGCAGUGGGGAAUAUUGCACAAUGGGGGAAACCCUGAUGCAGCGACGCCGCGUGAGCGAAGAAGUAUUUCGGUAUGUAAAGCUCUAUCAGCAGGGAAGAAACUGACGGUACCUGACUAAGAAGCACCGGCUAAAUACGUGCCAGCAGCGACGGUAAUCUGAGGCGGGCGUGGACGAAGGC